This 1367-nucleotide ribosomal RNA is filed under the name Curtobacterium flaccumfaciens. RNAcentral's name for it is "partial 16S ribosomal RNA". It matches the Rfam family "Bacterial small subunit ribosomal RNA", at positions 59 to 1437 of the family's 1533-position model. Lineage: Bacteria; Bacillati; Actinomycetota; Actinomycetes; Micrococcales; Microbacteriaceae. The record is from RNAcentral. RNAcentral also lists the same sequence under 1 other name.
CAGUCGAACGAUGAUGCCCAGCUUGCUGGGUGGAUUAGUGGCGAACGGGUGAGUAACACGUGAGUAACCUGCCCCUGACUCUGGGAUAAGCGUUGGAAACGACGUCUAAUACUGGAUAUGACUGCCGGCCGCAUGGUCUGGUGGUGGAAAGAUUUUUUGGUUGGGGAUGGACUCGCGGCCUAUCAGCUUGUUGGUGAGGUAAUGGCUCACCAAGGCGACGACGGGUAGCCGGCCUGAGAGGGUGACCGGCCACACUGGGACUGAGACACGGCCCAGACUCCUACGGGAGGCAGCAGUGGGGAAUAUUGCACAAUGGGCGAAAGCCUGAUGCAGCAACGCCGCGUGAGGGAUGACGGCCUUCGGGUUGUAAACCUCUUUUAGUAGGGAAGAAGCGAAAGUGACGGUACCUGCAGAAAAAGCACCGGCUAACUACGUGCCAGCAGCCGCGGUAAUACGUAGGGUGCAAGCGUUGUCCGGAAUUAUUGGGCGUAAAGAGCUCGUAGGCGGUUUGUCGCGUCUGCUGUGAAAUCCCGAGGCUCAACCUCGGGCUUGCAGUGGGUACGGGCAGACUAGAGUGCGGUAGGGGAGAUUGGAAUUCCUGGUGUAGCGGUGGAAUGCGCAGAUAUCAGGAGGAACACCGAUGGCGAAGGCAGAUCUCUGGGCCGUAACUGACGCUGAGGAGCGAAAGCAUGGGGAGCGAACAGGAUUAGAUACCCUGGUAGUCCAUGCCGUAAACGUUGGGCGCUAGAUGUAGGGACCUUUCCACGGUUUCUGUGUCGUAGCUAACGCAUUAAGCGCCCCGCCUGGGGAGUACGGCCGCAAGGCUAAAACUCAAAGGAAUUGACGGGGGCCCGCACAAGCGGCGGAGCAUGCGGAUUAAUUCGAUGCAACGCGAAGAACCUUACCAAGGCUUGACAUACACCGGAAACGGCCAGAGAUGGUCGCCCCCUUGUGGUCGGUGUACAGGUGGUGCAUGGUUGUCGUCAGCUCGUGUCGUGAGAUGUUGGGUUAAGUCCCGCAACGAGCGCAACCCUCGUUCUAUGUUGCCAGCGGGUUAUGCCGGGGACUCAUAGGAGACUGCCGGGGUCAACUCGGAGGAAGGUGGGGAUGACGUCAAAUCAUCAUGCCCCUUAUGUCUUGGGCUUCACGCAUGCUACAAUGGCCGGUACAAAGGGCUGCGAUACCGUAAGGUGGAGCGAAUCCCAAAAAGCCGGUCUCAGUUCGGAUUGAGGUCUGCAACUCGACCUCAUGAAGUCGGAGUCGCUAGUAAUCGCAGAUCAGCAACGCUGCGGUGAAUACGUUCCCGGGCCUUGUACACACCGCCCGUCAAGUCAUGAAAGUCGGUAACACCCGAAGCCGGUGGCCUA